Molecule: non-coding RNA, 192 nt
Filed under: Acidobacteriota bacterium
Lineage: Bacteria; Pseudomonadati; Acidobacteriota
Description: Acidobacteria bacterium 6S RNA
Rfam family: 6S / SsrS RNA
About the family: E. coli 6S RNA was the first non coding RNA to be sequenced, but its function was unknown until recently. It consists of 184 nucleotides that fold into an extended hairpin structure with a large single-stranded internal bulge. The 6S RNA specifically associates with RNA polymerase holoenzyme containing the sigma70 specificity factor.
Source: RNAcentral
UUCACCCUGCGGAGUGCGUGAUGGUUUCAACUAAAUUUGAACCAACACUUAUUUGAUAGGGAGUCCGAUUUCGACGUGGUGUGUGGGCCUCACCCCCUUGCGGGGGUUCCAAGGUCCCCUAAAGCGUCGAUAGGAUGCCCACCUGGGUAACAGGUUCAAAUAGGUGAGCCACACGCCUACCGCGGGCCCCAG